CCUACGGUGAGCAGCAGUCGAGAAUCAUUCACAAUGGGGGAAACCCUGAUGGUGCGACGCCGCGUGGGGGAAUGAAGGUCUUCGGAUUGUAAACCCCUGUCAUGUGGGAGCAAAUUAAAAAGAUAGUACCACAAGAGGAAGAGACGGCUAAGUCUGUGCCAGCAGCCGCGGUAAUACAGAGGUCUCAAGCGUUGUUCGGAAUCACUGGGCGUAAAGCGUGCGUAGGCUGUUUCGUAAGUCGUGUGUGAAAGGCGCGGGCUCAACCCGCGGACGGCACAUGAUACUGCGAGACUAGAGUAAUGGAGGGGGAACCGGAAUUCUCGGUGUAGCAGUGAAAUGCGUAGAUAUCGAGAGGAACACUCGUGGCGAUGGCGGGUUCCUGGACAUUAACUGACGCUGAGGCACGAAGGCCAGGGGAGCGAAAGGGAUUAGAUACCCUAGUAGUC
This 446-nucleotide ribosomal RNA is filed under the name uncultured bacterium. RNAcentral's name for it is "partial 16S ribosomal RNA". It matches the Rfam family "Bacterial small subunit ribosomal RNA", at positions 338 to 795 of the family's 1533-position model. The record is from RNAcentral.